This 468-nucleotide ribosomal RNA is filed under the name uncultured bacterium. RNAcentral describes it as "partial 16S ribosomal RNA". It matches the Rfam family "Bacterial small subunit ribosomal RNA", at positions 28 to 507 of the family's 1533-position model. The record is from RNAcentral.
GACGAACGCUGGCGGCGUGCUUAACACAUGCAAGUCGAACGGAAAGGCCCUGCUUUUGUGGGGUGCUCGAGUGGCGAACGGGUGAGUAACACGUGAGUAACCUGCCCUUGACUUUGGGAUAACUUCAGGAAACUGGGUCUAAUACCGGAUAGGAGCUCCUGCUGCAUGGUGGGGGUUGGAAAGUUUCGGCGGUUGGGGAUGGACUCGCGGCUUAUCAGCUUGUUGGUGGGGUAGUGGCUUACCAAGGCUUUGACGGGUAGCCGGCCUGAGAGGGUGACCGGCCACAUUGGGACUGAGAUACGGCCCAGACUGCUACGGGAGGCAGCAGUGGGGAAUAUUGCACGAUGGGCGGAAGCCUGAUGCAGCAACGCCGCGUGCGGGAUGACGGCCUUCGGGUUGUAAACCGCUUUCGCCUGUGACGAAGCGUGAGUGACGGUAAUGGGUAAAGAAGCACCGGCUAACUACGUG